GAAGAGAAUUUCUAGGAACCAGGAAAUCCUAUUUUUAUUUCUUAAAUAAAUUCUGCAGUCUCCUUGCAAGUGGUUGAAGCUACUGAGCUAGUCUGUAUGUAUAUAACUUCUGGUCAAUGAUGGGCAGAGCUGAGUGUAAAGCGGAAAAAAUUUGUAAACACACUUUUAUGUAAAAUUCACGUUUUAUGAUUUGAAAGGAGCUCCCUGGAACUGUUCAUUUAAAAUCCUUUUGGUGCUAAUGAAAGUGGUCCUGUUUUCUGUUGUGCAGGAAGAAGCAGGAAGCUUUAAUAUGACCAGAAGUAAUUUCACAAACAAAAUCCAUGUUUCUUUUACUGCAGCCUGAUUGCAUUCAAACACGGUGUGAUAUUUCAGUGUCCAAGAAGCAGUAAGCAAAGCAUCAGUGAUCAACAAUAAUGCUGAUUCAGAGUCAGAUGUGAGUUUAAAAAAAAGCAUAAAUGAUCAAACAAAGGAAUUAUUUCAAAGAGGAUUUGUAAGGGAAAGGGCUUUGAAUGUUAAGAUAUUCCACAUUCUCACACUGAUGUUUCCCUUUGAAAAGAAGAUCUAAACUUUUAAAACCAAAAGGUGCUUUUCAGAGAAGAUAAACAGAGUGGGGGGAGAGGAGAUGCAGGGGAUAAACUAAAAUAAUUGCAACAUUUCUGAAGGACUUGAGUCUGUUUUUUUGUACAAGCAAUGAAGAAGUGUUGACCUGUUGACGCUGGAUAGCCCAGAAGCAAUGAGUUCUCGGCUGAACAAAUUAAGAAGAACCUGCCAAGCCUUCUGAAACCACUGUGGCUCUGGGUUGAUUGUUCAAGAAGGGAGUGGGGUGCUGAGUCUGGGCCUGUCAGGAGCGCAGUGCUGUCAUGUCCAGAAUGAACUGGGCUUGGAAAUUCAGCAAGCGAACUUUUUUGCUGCUGACUGUCUCGUGGAGGAGUGAGAGCAGGGCAGAGGGCGUACUGGAGCGCAGAUUUCGGAGGAGUCAGUAUGUGACUGCCCAGAGGAGGGAAGCCCUCUACCCUGGGAAAUGCUUCCAUUUCAUGAAAAUGAUGCCUGCUCAGCAUGCCUGGCUUAUUACUGCUUGCGGUGUGGAUUUGCUGCUGUUCCCAUGUCUCCUGAUGGGAUGGAGGGUGAGGGCAGAGAGGCAGGAUCUGCAGCUCAGAGCUGGGCAGCAGGAGGACGACAACAGAGCAGACAAGUGUUUGGCUAAAGCUCUCUUCUAGUGUAGGAGCUGUGCUCGCCUAUGGAGAGGUGCCCCAGGUGAGCGGGGGUUGGUAACUGYGGUGUGCGUGUUGCUCUUGCUUCUGUAAGGAAAUACAGAACAAAUCUUGGAACUGUGCAUUUCCGACACCUGUUAAAGCAAGAAUAUAUUUUAAUCAAGCUUACGGCAUGUCCAGGAUGCGCUUUGUGCUCCGGGGAAAAGGCCCUCCAGCAGUAGCUGCUCCAGAUGGCAAAUAGCUUUCAGCCCCGUAACUCUCCCUUCGUAGCUUGCUCUCGUCUGAUGUGGCCAGACAGGGUAGCGCAGGGCGUAACCACAGGAUGUAGA
This 1540-nucleotide long non-coding RNA is filed under the name Apteryx rowi (Okarito brown kiwi). Its description in RNAcentral is "lncRNA (ENSARWG00000006286.1)". The record is from RNAcentral. Lineage: Eukaryota; Metazoa; Chordata; Aves; Apterygiformes; Apterygidae.